Molecule: ribosomal RNA, 253 nt
Filed under: uncultured bacterium
Lineage: Bacteria
Description: partial 16S ribosomal RNA
Rfam family: Bacterial small subunit ribosomal RNA
Source: RNAcentral
UACGAAGGGGGCUAGCGUUGCUCGGAAUCACUGGGCGUAAAGCGCACGUAGGCGGACUCUUAAGUCGGUGGUGAAAUCCUGGAGCUCAACUCCAGAACUGCCUCCGAUACUGGGAGCCUUCGAGUCCGGGAGAGGUGAGUGGAACUGCGAGUGUAGAGGUGAAAUUCGUAGAUAUUCGCAAGAACACCAGUGGCGAAGGCGGCUCACUGGCCCGGUACUGACGCUGAGGUGCGAAAGCGUGGGGAGCAAACAG